UAUACGGAAACGGAAGCUCAUUUGCCGUUGGCAAAGCGGAAACUGUUAAAAGGUCAAAGGUGAGCGCUGUUGACGUGCAGGUGGGAUUCUUUUACCUGUUCCCAACCCUGAGCCACUGCCUGCCUUUGUUUGUGAAAAGGGAGGUGGGGCCACGGCUGUGCCCACUGGGACGCUUGCUCCUAAGGCAGUGCAGUGGUACAGGCCUUCCUGGAAGAGGAUGUGUUCCUACAUGAGUUAACAGCUAGGCUUUGCGGCAUGCUCCUGUCACCCUAAUUACUUAAGAAGCUGAGGCAGGAGGAUUGAAACAGAGAUCACUCUCCCACGGAGGAAAAACAUCUUUAGCUCCUCAGAAGGCAAGGCACUGCUGAAGGGAACCUAGACCUCAGAAGGGGCAGAGUAAACCUAUCAGAGGAGAUUCCAGAAUAUGAGCCCGCCGACUCCAGGAAUAUCCUGGCAGGAACCUGCAUUUAACAAGUGCCCGCAAGUCAGGAGAUGUCAGAUUUUCCUAGAAGAGUCCCAGAAACCCCACCAUGCCCGGUGACAAAGAGGAGCCUUUUCCUGUCUAGACAUGAAAAUGCUUGUAAUUAAAAUUAAGACGUGAAAGGGGA
Non-coding RNA from Rattus norvegicus (Norway rat), 608 nucleotides. NCBI's taxonomy places the organism in Eukaryota, Metazoa, Chordata, Mammalia, Rodentia, Muridae. The record is from RefSeq and is a predicted model, not a curated record.